GUAGGUGGCAAGCGUUGUCCGGAAUUAUUGGGCGUAAAGCGCGCGCAGGCGGUUCUUUAAGUCUGAUGUGAAAGCCCACGGCUCAACCGUGGAGGGUCAUUGGAAACUGGAGAACUUGAGUACAGAAGAGGAAAGCGGAAUUCCACGCGUAGCGGUGAAAUGCGUAGAGAUGUGGAGGAACACCAGUGGCGAAGGCGGCUUUCUGGUCUGUAACUGACGCUGAGGCGCGAAAGCGUGGGGAGCAAACAGGGAUUAGAUACCCUGGUAGUCCACGCCGUAAACGAUGAGUGCUAAGUGUUAGGGGGGGUUCCGCCCCCUUAGUGCUGCAGCUAACGCAUUAAGCACUCCGCCUGGGGAGUACGGCCGCAAGGCUG
RNAcentral lists this ribosomal RNA (374 nucleotides) under uncultured organism. Its description in RNAcentral is "partial 16S ribosomal RNA". It matches the Rfam family "Bacterial small subunit ribosomal RNA", at positions 527 to 896 of the family's 1533-position model. The record is from RNAcentral.